GCAGACACAUUCCAGCCAAUCAGCAGCAAACCCUCCCUCCCAGACCCUCCCACCUCCUGGACAGCUCACUAAGAAUGCAGCUUCAAAAUGGAUGCUGUCCAGGAGGUGGGAGGGUCUGGGAGGGAGGGUCUGCUGCUGAUUGGCUGGAAUGUGUCUG
This is a non-coding RNA of Pelobates cultripes (western spadefoot toad), 157 nucleotides long. The record is from the annotation of a GenBank genome assembly. NCBI's taxonomy places the organism in Eukaryota, Metazoa, Chordata, Amphibia, Anura, Pelobatidae.